UCCUACGGGACGCAGCAGUGAGGAAUAUUGGUCAAUGGGCUUACGCCUGAACCAGCCAAGUCGCGUGAGGGAAGAAUGUCCUAUGGAUUGUAAACCUCUUUUGUCAGGGAGCAAAGUCACCCACGUGUGGGUGUUGGAGAGUACCUGAAGAAAAAGCAUCGGCUAACUCCGUGCCAGCAGCCGCGGUAAUGCGGAGGAUGCGAGCGUUAUCCGGAUUUAUUGGGUUUAAAGGGUGCGUAGGCGGGUUAUCAAGUCAGCGGUAAAAUCGUGGAGCUCAACUCCAUCCAGCCGUUGAAACUGAUGAU
This 305-nucleotide ribosomal RNA is filed under the name uncultured bacterium. RNAcentral describes it as "bacterial SSU rRNA". It matches the Rfam family "Bacterial small subunit ribosomal RNA", at positions 337 to 640 of the family's 1533-position model. The record is from RNAcentral.